RNAcentral lists this ribosomal RNA (538 nucleotides) under uncultured bacterium. RNAcentral describes it as "bacterial SSU rRNA". It matches the Rfam family "Bacterial small subunit ribosomal RNA", at positions 8 to 526 of the family's 1533-position model. The record is from RNAcentral.
AGAGUUUGAUCAUGGCUCAGAACGAACGUUAGCGGCGCGCCUAACACAUGCAAGUCGCACGAGAAAGGGCUUCGGCCCCGGUAAAGUGGCGCACGGGUGAGUAACACGUGGGUAACCUGCCCUCGAGCGGGGGAUAACAUUCCGAAAGGAGUGCUAAUACCGCAUAAGACCACGACCUCGAAAGAGGCUGAGGUCAAAGCUGGCCUCUAUUUAUAAGCUAGCACUUGAGGAUGGGCCCGCGGUGCAUCAGCUAGUUGGUGAGGUAAUGGCUCACCAAGGCUAAGACGCAUAGCUGGUCUGAGAGGAUGAUCAGCCACACUGGAACUGAGACACGGUCCAGACUCCUACGGGAGGCAGCAGUGGGGAAUCUUGCGCAAUGGGCGAAAGCCUGACGCAGCGACGCCGCGUGAGUGAUGAAGGCCUUCGGGUUGUAAAGCUCUGUGGGGAGAGACGAAUUAGUAGAAGCCAAUACCUUCUAUGAUGACGGUAUCUCCUUAGCAAGCACCGGCUAACUCUGUGCCAGCAGCCGCGGUAAUUC